This 479-nucleotide ribosomal RNA is filed under the name uncultured bacterium. RNAcentral describes it as "partial 16S ribosomal RNA". It matches the Rfam family "Bacterial small subunit ribosomal RNA", at positions 28 to 507 of the family's 1533-position model. The record is from RNAcentral.
GAUGAACGCUAGCGGGAGGCCUAACACAUGCAAGCCGAGCGGUAGAGUUUCUUCGGAAACUUGAGAGCGGCGCACGGGUGCGUAACACGUGUGCAACCUACCUUUAUCUGGGGGAUAGCCUUUCGAAAGGAAGAUUAAUACCCCAUAAUAUAAUGAUUGGCAUCAAUUAUUAUUGAAAACUCCGGUGGAUAGAGAUGGGCACGCGCAAGAUUAGAUAGUUGGUGAGGUAACGGCUCACCAAGUCAAUGAUCUUUAGGGGUCCUGAGAGGGAGAUCCACCACACUGGUACUGAGGCACGGACCAGACUCCUACGCGAGGCAGCAGUGAGGAAUAUUGGACAAUGGGUGAGAGCCUGAUCCAGCCAUCCCGCGUGAAGGAUGACGGUCCUAUGGAUUGUAAACUUCUUUUGUACAGGGAUAAACCUACCCUCGUGAGGGUAGCUGAAGGUACUGUACGAAUAAGCACCGGCUAACUCCGUG